UUGUGUCAGCGAAAGCUUUGAUGCCAACAAUGUUAGUUCAAGAACACAAAGAUAAAACAAUCACACAUACGGUACACGAGGUUUUAACGUGGUUCGGCCAACCAUGCCUACGUUCACGGAUGAGAGAGAAUAAUUCCACUAUACAAUAGAGAAUAUUACAGAGGAUAGAACCAGAUACAACUAUUGGGUUCCCGAAACAUCCCAUGUUUCCCCACUCCUUGUAUCCAUACCUUACUACGAGCCCUCUCGCUCCACCAGGUACCUCCCGUUCUUCCUCACAUCUCUAUCCACCUCGUAUAGUCUCUAUAGGCCCAUCUCCAUCUCAUAACUUUUUCCUCUCAUGACCUAGAAUAUUUAUAGAGAUAUUUCUAACAACCUUCUUUAUUAUAUAAGGAAGUCUAAUAUUACAAUAAUAUAUUAACCUAGAAAUAUUUUAUACAAUAUUCUUUACAAAAAAGGAAUAUUUACUAAUUAGGAAUUUGGGACAAUUCCCAACAAUCUCCACCUUGGACCAAAUUGCAUGAAGUUAAUCUUCAAUCUCUCCAUGACACAAACCUUUUUGUAUCAUAUCACCACGAAAGAGCAAUCGACUCCACCUUCAGUGAAAAUUUCUUUUGUUUUCAUCUUGUGUGCUUUGUGAUCUUUUCCUCUUCCAGAAAUCUUCAACCCAAGCUCUGAUACCAAUUGUUGUGCCAGCGAAAGCUUUGAUGCCAACAAUGUUAGUUCAAGAACACAAAGAUAAAACAAUCACACAUACAGUACACGAGGUUUUAACGUGGUUCGGCCAACCAUGCCUACGUCCACGGAUGAGAGAGAAUAAUUCCACUAUACAAUAGAGAAUAUUACAGAGGAUAGAACCAGAUACAACUAUUGGGUUCCCGAAACAUCCCAUGUUUCCCCACUCCUUGUAUCCAUACCUUACUACGAGCCCUCUCGCUCCACCAGGUACCUCCCGUUCUUCCUCACAUCUCUAUCCACCUCGUAUAGUCUCUAUAGGCCCAUCUCCAUCUCAUAACUUUUUC
RNAcentral lists this long non-coding RNA (1022 nucleotides) under Vitis vinifera (wine grape). RNAcentral describes it as "long non-coding RNA (VVIN_LNC005590)". Lineage: Eukaryota; Viridiplantae; Streptophyta; Magnoliopsida; Vitales; Vitaceae. The record is from RNAcentral.